AUUGAACGCUGGCAGCAGGCCUAACACAUGCAAGUCGAGCGAGCGGCGGACGGGUGAGUAAUGUCUGGGAAACUGCCUGAUGGAUGGGGAUAAAUACUGGAAACGGUAGCUAAUACCGCAUACAAUCAGAUGUGCCCCGAUGGGAUUAGCUUGUAGGUGGGGUAACGGCUCACAUAGGCGAAGCGCCCUAGCUGGUCUGAGAGGAUGACCAGCCACACUGGAACUGUGACACGGUCCAGACUCCUACGGUAGGCAGCAGUGGGGAAUAUUGCACAAUGGGGGGAAGCCUGCUGCAGCCAUGCCGCGUGUAUGAAGAAGGCCUUCGGGUUGUAAAGUACUUUCAGCGGGGAGGCGUUACCCGCAGAAGAAGCACCGGCUAACUCCGUGCCAGCAGCCGCGGUAAUAC
This 406-nucleotide ribosomal RNA is filed under the name uncultured bacterium. Its description in RNAcentral is "partial 16S ribosomal RNA". It matches the Rfam family "Bacterial small subunit ribosomal RNA", at positions 30 to 526 of the family's 1533-position model. The record is from RNAcentral.